RNAcentral lists this ribosomal RNA (484 nucleotides) under uncultured bacterium. RNAcentral describes it as "partial 16S ribosomal RNA". It matches the Rfam family "Bacterial small subunit ribosomal RNA", at positions 30 to 507 of the family's 1533-position model. The record is from RNAcentral.
AUUGAACGCUGGCGGAAUGCUUUACACAUGCAAGUCGAACGGCAGCACGGGGGCAACCCUGGUGGCGAGUGGCGAACGGGUGAGUAAUACAUCGGAACGUGCCCGGUCGUGGGGGAUAACGUAGCGAAAGGUACGCUAAUACCGCAUACGAUCUGAGGUUGAAAGCGGGGGACCUUCGGGCCUCGCGCGAUUGGAGGGGCCGAUGUCAGAUUAGGUAGUUGGUGGGGUAAAGGCCUACCAAGCCGACGAUCUGUAGCUGGUCUGAGAGGACGACCAGCCACACUGGGACUGAGACACGGCCCAGACUCCUACGGGAGGCAGCAGUGGGGAAUUUUGGACAAUGGGCGCAAGCCUGAUCCAGCCAUUCCGCGUGAAGGACGAAGGCCUUCGGGUUGUAAACUGCUUUUGUAUGGAAAGAAAAGGCUCUGGCUAAUACCUGGGGCUCAUGACGGUACCGUAAGAAUAAGCACCGGCUAACUACGUG